GAUGAAGAACGUAGCGAAAUGCGAUAAGUAAUGCGAAUUGCAGAAUUUCCGUGAGUCAUCGAAUCUUUGAACGCACAUUGCGCCCGCCAGUAUUCUGGCGGGCAUGCCUGUUCGAGCGUCAUUUCAACCAUCAAGCCCCCGGCUUGUGUUGGGGACCUGCGGCUGCCGCAGGCCCUGAAAUCCAGUGGCGGGCUCGCCGUAGCACCGAGCGUAGUAGCACACUUCUCGCUCCGGUAGCAGCGGCGGGCGCUUGCCGUAAAACCCCCCCUAAAAUCUCAAGGUUGACCUCGGAUCAGGUAGGAAUACCCGCUGAACUUAAGCAUAUCAAUAAGCGGAGGA
This 339-nucleotide unclassified non-coding RNA is filed under the name soil metagenome. Its description in RNAcentral is "partial contains 5.8S ribosomal RNA, internal transcribed spacer 2, and large subunit ribosomal RNA". The stretch from base 1 to 121 matches the Rfam family "5.8S ribosomal RNA", at positions 35 to 154 of the family's 154-position model. The record is from RNAcentral.